CAGAGGGCCUGAAUGGCAGCAGCUGGGGCUGGGCAAAGCUGCUCCACAAGGCCCAGGAUUCCAGGGAGCAGCUGUUUCCUGGCCCUCUACUCACAGUUUUCUGCAUGGAAAUCAGGAACAAACUGCUCAUCACUGUCCGGUACCUGAGCUGCAGAGAGAGGCCAGAGGUGGGAUACAGCUGAGCACCUCUCCUGACCCCAGAGUCUUUGCCCACUUUUUGCCCCUCUCUCAAGAAUCAACAGAUCACAGAAGGAAGGGGAAGGGUAGACACCGAGAGGGACUUCCUAUCAGUCUGGGAAGAGUCUGGCUUGAAGAUGAAGCAAUGGAACCCAUGGAGAGGGGUCUUUUGUUCCCUGGAGACUGCUCUCAGAUUGGACAAUAGGAAAACUCAUGGAUAAAAUGACCGGAGAGUUGAGAAUGGCUGGUGUAAGGGUGAGGGAUAUGAGGAGACGGCUGGAGAUCACCGCCACUCGUCCUAGUCUAUACAGGACACACCCCAGUCUCUAUGGCUUCCCUCCUGGGCCAAGGCUCCAUCAUUUCUUCCUUGGAUUUCAGCCACGACAUGUUAUCAGAACUCCCAACAUCUACUCUCCUCAAAACUGUCAGAGGGAUCUUUUUACAACAGAAAUCCGAUCACUUCUCUCCCUUGCUUAAAGCAUGAACCCCAAACUCUUGCCCUUGGCCUCUGUGGCGCCCAAGUUUCUGGCUCUUGCUUACCUCUCUCACCUGCCUCUCCUUGCCUGUUACUCUCCAGAGCUCUGGUCUCCUUUUGGGUCCUCAAACUCCACCAGCUUGAACCCUCUUCCCCACAUCUUGGCCUGUUUUUCUCUGGCCUUUGAAGUGUUAGCUCACUUUGCUAUCUCAGGGGCCUUCUCUGACCACCCAAACCAAAGUGGUCUCUCCUGGCUCUCGAUCGCAUCCCUGUUUUAUUUUUUCCCUAGCACAUAUGACUACCUGAACUUAUUAAUUUAUGCACAUGUAAAUUACGUGUAAUUUAUUGUCCAUCUCCUCUACCAGAAAGUUAACCUUGCUGAGGGCAGGGGCUUUGUCUGUCUUAUUCGUCUGACUCCCCAGCACCCCUCAAACAAGGCCUCGUUCAGAAAAGACACUCAAUGCAUUAUUUGUCAACUAUAUGAAUAAACUACAAUGACUCCUUGUCCUCAGGCCGGGGAGAGCCAGCAACAUGGGCCUGGGAGCAAGAACUAAAGAGAUCCUAACCAAUCAGCCCUUCCCUCCCCUUUAGGGCUCCCCCCUCCACCACCAGGUAACAUUAGAGGCAGGUCCCCUGAAAAGCACAUCUCACAAGGGAUGCUUUAGGCUGUGAUCAAUUG
Molecule: long non-coding RNA, 1331 nt
Organism: Physeter macrocephalus (sperm whale)
Lineage: Eukaryota; Metazoa; Chordata; Mammalia; Artiodactyla; Physeteridae
Exons: 3
Source: RefSeq, a predicted model, not a curated record